UGUAUUUUUAAUUUUAGUUUCUUGUGUACAAUUUGGAAAUUAGUAUGGCGUUUAUUAUCACUGAACUAGUAUAUAUUUGUUUAGGGGCCAGCUGAAGGACGCCUCCGGGUGCGGGAAUUUCUCGCUACAUUGAAGACCUGUUGGUGACCUUCUGCUGUUGUUUUUUUCUAUGGUCGGGUUGUUGUCUCUUUGGCACAUUCCCCAUUUCCAUUCUCAAUUUU
RNAcentral lists this long non-coding RNA (221 nucleotides) under Mytilus galloprovincialis (Mediterranean mussel). The record is from RNAcentral. Lineage: Eukaryota; Metazoa; Mollusca; Bivalvia; Mytilida; Mytilidae.